UACGGAGGGGGCUAGCGUUGUUCGGAAUCACUGGGCGUAAAGCGUACGUAGGCGGCUAUUCAAGUCAGGGGUGAAAGCCUGGAGCUCAACUCCAGAACUGCCUUUGAAACUAGGUAGCUUGAACACGGGAGAGGUGAGUGGAAUUCCGAGUGUAGAGGUGAAAUUCGUAGAUAUUCGGAAGAACACCAGUGGCGAAGGCGGCUCACUGGACCGUUGUUGACGCUGAGGUACGAAAGCGUGGGGAGCAAACAGGAUUAGAUACCCUGGUAGUCCACGCCGUAAACGAUGAUAACUAGCUGUUGGGGCUCUUUGAGCUCCAGUGGCGCAGCUAACGCAUUAAGUUAUCCGCCUGGGGAGUACGGCCGCAAGGUUAAA
This 375-nucleotide ribosomal RNA is filed under the name uncultured bacterium. RNAcentral's name for it is "bacterial SSU rRNA". It matches the Rfam family "Bacterial small subunit ribosomal RNA", at positions 524 to 898 of the family's 1533-position model. The record is from RNAcentral.